CCUGACAUACUAAGAACUUUCCAGAGAUGGAUUGGUGCCUUCGGGAACUUAGAUACAGGUGCUGCAUGGCUGUCGUCAGCUCGUGUCGUGAGAUGUUGGGUUAAGUCCCGNAACGAGCGCAACCCUUUUCCUUAUUUGCCAGCGGGUCAUGCCGGGAACUUUAAGGAUACUGCCAGUGACAAACUGGAGGAAGGCGGGGACGACGUCAAGUCAUCAUGGCCCUUACGGCCAGGGCUACACACGUGCUACAAUGGUCGGUACAAAGGGUUGCUACCUCGCGAGAGGAUGCUAAUCUCAAAAAGCCGAUCGUAGUCCGGAUCGCAGUCUGCAACUCGACUGCGUGAAGUCGGAAUCGCUAGUAAUCGCGGAUCAGAAUGCCGCGGUGAAUACGUUCCCGGGCCUUGUACACACCGCCCGUCACACCAUGGGAGUUUGUUGCACCAGAAGUAGGUAGUCUAACCGCAAGGAGGACGCUUACCACGGUGUGGCCGAUGACUGGGGUGAAGUCGUAACAAGGUAGGCGUAGAUGA
This 530-nucleotide ribosomal RNA is filed under the name uncultured bacterium. RNAcentral describes it as "bacterial SSU rRNA". It matches the Rfam family "Bacterial small subunit ribosomal RNA", at positions 980 to 1509 of the family's 1533-position model. The record is from RNAcentral.